GGGUAAAAAAAGGCUCGGGACGAAUGGGGGGUGUCCCGAGCUCAGGGGAAUGGCUCAAUGAUUUGAGCCGUGCGCUAACUCAUAAAAACGAACCAGGACAAUUAGUUUAGACAACAAAAAAAUAAAACGCCUAAUUUUUCCGCAAUUU
This 148-nucleotide small RNA is filed under the name Pseudidiomarina salinarum. The record is from RNAcentral. Lineage: Bacteria; Pseudomonadati; Pseudomonadota; Gammaproteobacteria; Alteromonadales; Idiomarinaceae.